This is a long non-coding RNA of Paramormyrops kingsleyae, 765 nucleotides long. RefSeq lists it as uncharacterized. The record is from RefSeq and is a predicted model, not a curated record. Lineage: Eukaryota; Metazoa; Chordata; Actinopteri; Osteoglossiformes; Mormyridae.
AGUGGAAACCAGGUAGAGAUGAAUCAACUCCCACAAGAGGACCCUGAGACUCCUAAUUGAGGAAAUUUGCACCUGGCUGUCCCCUUAAAAUAAGAUGGUAAUUUUUAGUGACCCCUCCCCAACCCCAGGGACAUAUUUGUACAAUAUUUAUUGACAAUUUUUUACCAUUGGUAAAACCAAAACUCUUUAUGUAUGUGGCUACAGUACUACCGUGAGGCAACUGACGUUUACAGCAGGGGACAAUUAUUACUGUAAUUGUUAACCCUCAAAACUGGUGCAGAAUCAUCCUGAAACUUCACAAAGACAAGCAGACAAGCAAUUGACAUAUUUAUCUUCAAUCAAACCCAAGUGCCAAGUGUCUAUCAUUGACAAAAUAUGGAAGGCAUAUUCCAGAUUCUUCGGAGCAGGCAGGAUGCAGGGCCUGCGAACAUAAUUGUAUUCAAUAGCUUCCAAAACCCUAAACGAGCUGCCACGGAAACCAUUAUCUCAGCCUCACAAUGGAUUGUCAGGAUCAGGAGAGCCAUACACAGGAGAGCCACACGCAGCCAUCCAGCCCAGGCGUCCUGAAGAAAAGGAAGCGAUAAAGUUAUGGAGGAGUAUUGGACAGGAGAGGGAGUGCCACACCUUCAGGAAGCCAGGGGUGACGUACCGUUAGCCGGGCCACGCAGAGCGCUUUGGCGGAGGGAUUCUCCAGCUGCAGCCUCUCCUUCAGCAGGUUGCUUCCAUAGGCAAAGUACAGGAAGGAUGCCUGGUUCAUGCUGUCAG